RNAcentral lists this ribosomal RNA (145 nucleotides) under Phellinus igniarius. RNAcentral describes it as "5.8S ribosomal RNA". It matches the Rfam family "5.8S ribosomal RNA". Rfam says of the family: 5.8S ribosomal RNA (5.8S rRNA) is a component of the large subunit of the eukaryotic ribosome. It is transcribed by RNA polymerase I as part of the 45S precursor that also contains 18S and 28S rRNA. The record is from RNAcentral. Lineage: Eukaryota; Fungi; Basidiomycota; Agaricomycetes; Hymenochaetales; Hymenochaetaceae.
ACUUUUAGCAACGGAUCUCUUGGCUCUCGCAUCGAUGAAGAACGCAGCGAAAUGCGAUAAGUAAUGUGAAUUGCAGAAUUCAGUGAAUCAUCGAAUCUUUGAACGCACCUUGCGCUCCUUGGUAUUCCGAGGAGCAUGCCUGUUU